GACGAACGCUGGCGGCGUGCUUAACACAUGCAAGUCGAACGGAAAGGCCCUGCUUUUGUGGGGUGCUCGAGUGGCGAACGGGUGAGUAACACGUGAGUAACCUGCCCUUGACUUUGGGAUAACUUCAGGAAACUGGGGCUAAUACCGGAUAGGAGCUCCUGCUGCAUGGUGGGGGUUGGAAAGUUUCGGCGGUUGGGGAUGGACUCGCGGCUUAUCAGCUUGUUGGUGGGGUAGUGGCUUACCAAGGCUUUGCCGGGUAGCCGGCCUGAGAGGGUGACCGGCCCCACUGGGCCUGAGAUACGGCCCAGACCCCUACGGGAGGCAGGAGUGGGGAAUAGUGCACAAGGGGCGGAAGCCUGAUGCAGCAACGCCGCGCGCGGGAUGACGGCCUUCGGGUUGUAAACCGCUUUCGCCUGUGACGAAGCGUGAGUGACGGUAAUGGGUAAAGAAGCACCGGCUAACUACGUG
This 468-nucleotide ribosomal RNA is filed under the name uncultured bacterium. Its description in RNAcentral is "partial 16S ribosomal RNA". It matches the Rfam family "Bacterial small subunit ribosomal RNA", at positions 28 to 507 of the family's 1533-position model. The record is from RNAcentral.